This 370-nucleotide ribosomal RNA is filed under the name uncultured organism. RNAcentral describes it as "bacterial SSU rRNA". It matches the Rfam family "Bacterial small subunit ribosomal RNA", at positions 526 to 896 of the family's 1533-position model. The record is from RNAcentral.
CGUAGGGUGCAAGCGUUAAUCGGAAUUACUGGGCGUAAAGCGUGCGCAGGCGGUGAUGUAAGACAGAUGUGAAAUCCCCGGGCUCAACCUGGGAACUGCAUUUGUGACUGCAUCGCUGGAGUGCGGCAGAGGGGGAUGGAAUUCCGCGUGUAGCAGUGAAAUGCGUAGAUAUGCGGAGGAACACCGAUGGCGAAGGCAGUCCCCUGGGCCUGCACUGACGCUCAUGCACGAAAGCGUGGGGAGCAAACAGGAUUAGAUACCCUGGUAGUCCACGCCCUAAACGAUGUCAACUGGUUGUUGGGUCUUCACUGACUCAGUAACGAAGCUAACGCGUGAAGUUGACCGCCUGGGGAGUACGGCCGCAAGGUUG